CCUACGGGUGGCAGCAGUGAGGAAUAUUGGUCAAUGGGCGCGAGCCUGAACCAGCCAAGUCGCGUGAAGGAUGACUGCCCUACGGGUUGUAAACUUCGUUUAUAAAGGAAUAAAGUGAGGCACGUGUGCCUUUUUGUAUGUACUUUAUGAAUAAGGAUCGGCUAGCUCCGGGACAGCAGCAGCGGUAAUACGGAGGAUGCGAGCGUGAUCCGGAUUGAUUGGGUUUAAAGGGAGCGUAGAUGGGUUGUUAAGUCAGUUGGGAAAGGUUGCGGAUCAACCGGAAAAUUGCAAUUGAUACUGGCAGCCUUGAGUACAGUUGAGGUAGGCGGAAUUCGUGGUGUAGCGGUGAAAUGCUUAGAUAACACGAAGAACUACGAUUGCGAAGGCAGCUUACUAAACUGCAACUGACAUUGAUGCUCGAAAGUGUGGGUAUCAAACAGGAUUAGAUACCCGAGUAGUC
This 460-nucleotide ribosomal RNA is filed under the name uncultured bacterium. Its description in RNAcentral is "partial 16S ribosomal RNA". It matches the Rfam family "Bacterial small subunit ribosomal RNA", at positions 338 to 795 of the family's 1533-position model. The record is from RNAcentral.